UUACUUGGAUAACUGUGGUAAUUCUAGAGCUAAUACAUGCAAACAGAGCUCCGACCGGAGACGGAAGGAGCGCUUUUAUUAGAUCAAAACCGAUCGGUGGUGGAUUUAUCCAUCAUCGUAUAACUUGGUGAAUCUGAAUAACUUUAAGCUGAUCGCACGGUCUAGCACCGGCGACGCAUCUUUCAAAUGUCUGCCUUAUCAACUGUCGAUGGUAGGUUCUGCGCCUACCAUGGUUGUAACGGGUAACGGGGAAUCAGGGUUCGAUUCCGGAGAGGGAGCCUGAGAAACGGCUACCACAUCCAAGGAAGGCAGCAGGCGCGCAAAUUACCCACUCCCGGCACGGGGAGGUAGUGACGAAAAAUAACGAUACGGGACUCAUCCGAGGCCCCGUAAUCGGAAUGAGUACACUCUAAACCCUUUAACGAGGAUCAAUUGGAGGGCAAGUCUGGUGCCAGCAGCCGCGGUAAUUCCAGCUCCAAUAGCGUAUAUUAAAGUUGUUGCGGUUAAAAAGCUCGUAGUCGAAUCUGUGUCCCGCACCGCUGGUUCAUCGUUCGCGGUGUUAACUGGCGUGCCGCGGGACGUCCUGCCGGUGGGCUUAGCUCGCAAGGGCGGCCCAAAUCAAUCCUGCCACGGUGCUCUUCAUUGAGUGUCGAGGUGGGCCGGCACGUUUACUUUGAACAAAUUAGAGUGCUUAAAGCAGGCUAAAAUUUCGCCUGAAUACUGUGUGCAUGGAAUAAUGGAAUAGGACCUCGGUUCUAUUUUGUUGGUUUUCGGAACCCCGAGGUAAUGAUUAAUAGG
Molecule: ribosomal RNA, 798 nt
Filed under: Cis nitidus
Lineage: Eukaryota; Metazoa; Arthropoda; Insecta; Coleoptera; Ciidae
Description: SSU rRNA
Rfam family: Eukaryotic small subunit ribosomal RNA
Source: RNAcentral